CUACUAAAGUGGCUACCACUGGAUUUUGCUGUCCAGCUUCCACAUUCUUUGCUAGAACACUUCUGAUGUAUUUUGCAAAAUUCUUCCUGCCUACAUCCCCAGAGCUAGGAUGGAGCACAUAUCCGGAAGACUCACCAGCUGCAUUCCUCAGCUUCUGAUCCAGCUGGAAAUUUUCAGAUCCUCUUGGAGCUAUGUCUUGCUUUUCAUACUUCCUCCUGGUUUGAAACCCUCGAGGCAGCAUUGUUGGAUUGUGUCAACAGAGUCUGCACAACUCAGGUCUACUUCAAAUGAUUUUACACAUAAAAAUACUUAUGACUACAAAAUAAACCUGUUAUAAUGAAAUGUCAUACUGGAAAUAGAAAUACUUCUCCUAUGGUUUUGCAUUAUAAUGAUGUGUACUUCUCUAAUAAAUGCAUUAUAC
RNAcentral lists this long non-coding RNA (421 nucleotides) under Cavia porcellus (domestic guinea pig). RNAcentral's name for it is "lncRNA (ENSCPOG00000033619.1)". Lineage: Eukaryota; Metazoa; Chordata; Mammalia; Rodentia; Caviidae. The record is from RNAcentral.